GAAAACGAAGCUUGGACGUUCCAAUUUGCAGACGGAUUUUCAGUAAUACGCGAGUGCAAAUUAAAUUUAUAUCUGCACUAUAUACAAAGCAACAGAAAACGUCUGUUUAAUAUAACAAGUCUGCCAACUCUCGUAUGUUACAGCAAGCCGUCGCCGUGUUUUUAAUGCUAAAUAAAAACAACAGUAAAAAGUUGUGGAAGAGAAGUGGCGUCUAAUCUAUUGCACUUGUAUGUGUAUAUACUAUGUGUGUGAGCAAGCAAAUGCAUAUGUGUAUGCAUGUGCAUACUUGUGUACAUCAGACAGUAUGUAAUGUAGCUAAGUAAAUAAGGCCAGGCUAUAUAGUGAAAUUGUUGGCUUCCAACCCAAAACCCCAAAAAAAAUUGUGUACAAAAAAUUUGUUUAUAUUUGACGAACACAGACUGUGAAAAAAGCUGCAAUCUCGGCAAAGAGUGUCUGUCUGUCUGUAUGUAUACAAUGAGCACUUAAUUGGAUUAUUUUCAACUACAAAACAAAACAACAACAAAAAAAAAAGACUUCCAAAGCGCCGCGAGAGCUUCCCGCACAACUCAAAGGGGCACUUAUCACACCAAAUACUUCCUACGAUUGUGCCAAAAAAAAUCAUAAAAAAUAACAACACGCAACUGACGUCACAGAAAGUCUUUAGAAAUAACUGUCAAAUCUGUCUAUUUUUAGACAGAUGUAAAUAAUAUAUAUUGUGUCAACUUGUGUCUCAAAAAAGAAACAAAAAACUAAUACUACAAAUUUUAACGCCUAACUAAACGUGCACUCAUUUGUUUUGUUUUCUCUGUGUGUGCGUGCGUGUGUGUGUGUGUGUAUUUUGUGGCUAAUGCGGUUACGCUAGGCAACAAGGCUUAAGCUCUGAGACAACAACAACAACAUACUGCAAUAUAGCUGAUAAACAUGAGUCUAAAUCAACACAGCGGACCUGGCCCGCCAGAGAACAAUAGUAACAACACCAACAACACCGCCAACA
This is a long non-coding RNA of Drosophila busckii, 994 nucleotides long. RefSeq lists it as uncharacterized. Lineage: Eukaryota; Metazoa; Arthropoda; Insecta; Diptera; Drosophilidae. The transcript is spliced from 2 exons. The record is from RefSeq and is a predicted model, not a curated record.